GUGGCCCUAAUGACUUGACCAAAUAUGGAGACAGCUACCCAACAGAAAGCCAACUACAAAUGUUUAUCAUUUCAACACCUUCUGUUACUAGCAUGAUUAGUAGUAGAACCAAAAGUUGACAAUGUAGCUUAAGCAGAGAUACUUUUUGCCAACUAUGUAUCAUGGCUAUUCACUUACUCUUGAACUAUACAUAGUAAUAAAUAUUUGAAAACCCC
RNAcentral lists this long non-coding RNA (215 nucleotides) under Mytilus galloprovincialis (Mediterranean mussel). The record is from RNAcentral. Lineage: Eukaryota; Metazoa; Mollusca; Bivalvia; Mytilida; Mytilidae.